UGGGGAAUUUUGGACAAUGGGGGAAACCCUGAUCCAGCCAUCCCGCGUGUGCGAUGAAGGCCUUCGGGUUGUAAAGCACUUUUGGCAGGAAAGAAACGUCAUGGGUUAAUACCCCGUGAAACUGACGGUACCUGCAGAAUAAGCACCGGCUAACUACGUGCCAGCAGCCGCGGUAAUACGUAGGGUGCAAGCGUUAAUCGGAAUUACUGGGCGUAAAGCGUGCGCAGGCGGUUCGGAAAGAAAGAUGUGAAAUCCCAGGGCUUAACUUUGGAACUGCAUUUUUAACUACCGGGCUAGAGUGUGUCAGAGGGAGGUGGAAUUCCGCGUGUAGCAGUGAAAUGCGUAGAUAUGCGGAGGAACACCGAUGGCGAAGGCAGCCUCCUGGGAUAACACUGACGCUCAUGCACGAAAGCGUGGGGAGCAAACA
RNAcentral lists this ribosomal RNA (427 nucleotides) under uncultured bacterium. RNAcentral describes it as "partial 16S ribosomal RNA". It matches the Rfam family "Bacterial small subunit ribosomal RNA", at positions 355 to 774 of the family's 1533-position model. The record is from RNAcentral.